RNAcentral lists this ribosomal RNA (253 nucleotides) under uncultured bacterium. RNAcentral describes it as "partial 16S ribosomal RNA". It matches the Rfam family "Bacterial small subunit ribosomal RNA", at positions 524 to 776 of the family's 1533-position model. The record is from RNAcentral.
UACGAAGGGAGCGAGCGUUGUUCGGAAUCACUGGGCGUAAAGCGUGCGUAGGCGGUUUUGUAAGUCAGAAGUGAAAGCCUGGGGCUCAACCUCAGAAUUGCUUUUGAGACUGCAAAGCUAGAGUAUUGGAGAGGUCAGUGGAAUUCCGAGUGUAGAGGUGAAAUUCGCAGAUAUUCGGAGGAACACCAGUGGCGAAGGCGACUGACUGGACAAUUACUGACGCUGAGGCACGAAAGCGUGGGGAUCAAACAGG